Molecule: non-coding RNA, 23 nt
Filed under: Arabidopsis thaliana (thale cress)
Lineage: Eukaryota; Viridiplantae; Streptophyta; Magnoliopsida; Brassicales; Brassicaceae
Source: RNAcentral
GACUUAGCGCUUGAUUGGUUUUC